Long non-coding RNA from Chenopodium quinoa (quinoa), 1124 nucleotides. RefSeq lists it as uncharacterized. The record is from RefSeq and is a predicted model, not a curated record. NCBI's taxonomy places the organism in Eukaryota, Viridiplantae, Streptophyta, Magnoliopsida, Caryophyllales, Amaranthaceae. The transcript is spliced from 3 exons.
GGUCUUAACAGGCCGAAACCCCUCAUGAGUCAACCCGACCUAAGUAAGUUUCAUGUUUUUACUGGCAAAACAACAGUUUGGUUAAUCAACCUCUAUUAGUCUAUUACGGUUACAAACCCUUUAAAGUUUAGGCCCGCGAAAAAAUCUAAAAUAGCCUAACGGCAAAGCAGGCGGUUGGCUGCUUUGUUAACCACCGUUGUGAUUUCUUCUCCACUCUACUGAUAUCAUUUGUCUUCUAUUUCUCAGCAAAACCCUAGAAAAAUUUCUAAAUUCUUGCAAAGUUAAUCUAUUAAUCAACACUCAAGUUCCAGGAACUUUGGUUUACUGCACCAUUCGCAAAAAUAAAGGAGAAGGUAAUAGCGUAUCAGAAAACUGCAUAUGAUGCCUAUAUUUGGUAGCCCAAGGAGAAGCUGGAAUAGAUGCAUCAUGAGCUAUGUUGGAAUCUGUGAUGGAUGAGAAGUCUCAGAUAUCUAUGGCUCUUUCAACCUGUUGUUGUUCAGAAGCAGGCUGCUUUGUGGUGGAGAAGCACUUUGAGCCUAUCAUGAGGAGGAUUAGAUGAGUUCGACUGAUGGGGUUAUACUCUCAGAUUCCAUUUUAUUUAUUUAUUCAUUUAUUAGUUCCACUCUUUCGUAAAAUUAUUUUUGGUUGUAUGAAGGAUGAAAGGUAACACAAUCGUUCUUUUACAACUUCUCACUUGUUAAGGAAGACGCUUCCCCUUCAGGAGAUAGAGUGGCUACUUUGCAAGCUGAGAAAACAUCAUUAUGUUUGCCUAAUGGGGUUAAGGCUGGACCGGGAGGGUUACAGGAGAUUUCCGUUGUUUCUAGAAAUCUAGAUGUACAGCGAAGUUACCAAGAGGGGUGUCCAGUCACAAAGUCUUAAGCCUACAAAUUAUGAACAAAGGGACUGAAGAGGGAAGAGGAAUUGAGCAAGCAGUCAGACGUUGAGGUCAAAGAGUUCACUUAAGGAUCAAGUUAGAACUUUUGAUGCUUUUCUCUGCCUUGCGGUUUCUGAUGGUAAUUUGUCAUGUCAUUAUCUGUAUUACAAUAUUGUGGAAACUGUAGUCGAAACGUUUCCUUAAUGUUAAAGCCUAAUAUUAUGAUUAAUUAACACAAUACUUUGUCGAA